UUACAGCCAUAUCAUGUUGAACACACUAGUUCUCAACCGAUCACUAAAGUUAAGCAGCAUUCAGCCUGGUCAGUAGUAAGAUGGGUGAUUGUUUGGGAAUGUCAGCUGCUGUAA
Non-coding RNA from Acanthosepion pharaonis, 114 nucleotides. The record is from the annotation of a GenBank genome assembly. Lineage: Eukaryota; Metazoa; Mollusca; Cephalopoda; Sepiida; Sepiidae.